GCCUCCCGCGGCGGGCCGGGUCUCCAGGGAGGACCUGAGUUUUCUUCACCCAUUGUCAGGAAGGCGCCAUCGCCCUGGCUUUUGGGGCUGGGGCCUCCGGGGAGGUUCCGGUAGGGGCGUUGGAGAGGCCCGCUCUUUUUGCAAGGCCCGAGACGGCGGGCCCUGCGCAGGCCGCCCUAUUUCCGCGCGCCCUCAGGGCGUCAGUAUCAGCCUGAGGCUGGAUACCCCCGCUGGCCCCGGAUGCCCCCGCUGGGCCCGGAGCAUCCUCCGGCGCUGCCCUCCCAGAGCCACGCAGAGGCUGAGGUGGCGCGGGGGCGGCCCCGGCUCCGCGAGAAGCGGCGGCAGCGAGGGCUGGAGGACCCGGGCUGCGGGGCUCCGGGGCGUCUGGCCUGGGUGGGACUGAGCCCAUCCAGGGACUGGGACUCUGGGAUUCUGGUGUAGGUGGAUCCGGGGCAGGCUCAGGACCAAGUCCCUCUCCUUCCACCAAGGAGCGCCCAGAGGCCGGCGGGAGCUCCAGGUUCACCUCCUCCUCCUCCAGGGAAGACUGAAGUUUUACUGAAACACAGAGAUGGGAAUCUGACCCUCUGAGCAGCCGCAGGAUAUUCUAAGUCUUCCAAGAAGAGUAGAAAUACUGGAAAUCCCACUUCCAGCUAGAUGUCUGCAUGAACUACUGAAAGCUGCUGAGUGUCUUGCAGCAGGUGAGCUGUGGCCAGAGCUCAAGGAUGAAGGGGACUCCCUCACUGUGUGACUGUGAAGAGGAAGCCUGAGGUGUAGCAGGCCCAGGCCCCAGAAGUAUGGAAAAAAUGAGGCCAUUUUCAAUCCAGAGGAAGACCUUCUAAAAGAGGUGAUGGAUGGGAGAGUGCUGACAUACUAUGUGAAGCUACUAUUUGGAGUUGGACACGAGUGCAUGUGACCUUGUGCCACAGCGGGAAUGUGAGCUGGGUGACAAAUGGAGAUUUGGACUUGUGAUAAUUGGCCUCUGUGUCAUUGUGUGGAAGACUGACUGGUCCCUUUAUUUCCUGUAGCUUGACUACCACACAAAUGAAUCCAUUCAAAUGUUGGCAAGUGGAGCAGAGUCCCAGGACAGGUAAAGCACUUUCCCUGCUUUUUCUUAAGAUCAAUCCCCAUGCCUAGAAAUUAAAGUCACAUCCCACAUGAUCAUUAAAGUAGAGAGUGCAUUCUACAGGAUGAGUGAAAAGGCAUUUAUGAUUCUUGGGGGCAGAUGUUCUACAGUUGCCUGUGCUAGUUCAUGUCUUUCUGCAGAUCACAUUCUUAACCUCUAGAGAGUCUGGCAGGACCAGAGCCUUACCUUUCCCAGUCUCCAAUCUCUACAGGUACAGAAACACCCCCAGUUCAAGAAUCUUCACAUCUGAAUUUAGUCCUACACCUGCAACUACCCCAGGUAAGUUUCCUUGUUCUUCAAUGGCAAAGUUUGGACAAUGCUGUUCAAACUCCAGGCAACAAGCAACAUCUAGGGAAUGUGCUUUUAGGUAGGGUCAGCAUAAUAUCCCACCCUGGAAGACAUUUUUAUUUUAAAGUUGUAGAGGGUGAUGCUGCUGGCGGCUCCCUCCCAAUUAGCACCAUUUGCAGCCUCUUUUGAAGACAGAGAACUGAGGGCUGUCCUUCAAAUGGAGCAGUGUGAUUCCAAAAAAAAGAGAUGCUCCUUGUGGUCCUGGGACCAGGGAUAGGACUCCAGCUGAGCCUGGUGGAAGAGGUCCACGUCCUAGCCCAACGGAGAGCCAUGCAGCUGAGCUUGGGCGAUGUGGUCCACGUGGUUGUUUCUGAGUGUGUCCUGAGGUUGCUGGAUGGCUUGCAGUUCCCUAUGCAGAUCCAAUGCUUCUUUUGCUUUUUUGGUUCUGCAACCUGGAAUUUAUAUGUUCAAGAUGGAGCCAUCUCAGCCAUGACAACAGAGAAUGUACCACUCUCACAUGAGGAAGAGGGGUAGGAAGUGCUCCUGUAUCACCAGCCCUUAAUGAGACCCUGAGGAAACCACAUCAUGGAGAUCAGCCCUUCUCUCCUGUAAGGAACUCAUCCUAUGAAAGAGCAAUUAGUGCCUGCAAGAGCUGUCUCUGGGACAGCUGUUCAUGUCUAUAUCUGCAGGGUAACCCUCAUAGUCAUAUGCAGUCAUAUCCAUAGUCAUAUCGGGAGUCAGACUCCAGUUUGACUGAGUGAAUGGAGAAACUAAACAUUUAUUACUGAAUAAUAACAUUAAUAAACCAUCUUAAUGAUAGUAAUAAUAAACAUAUUGAUGAGUAUUAACAGGAAUGAUGAUUAUUAUGAUACUAAUAUCCAUAAUUAAUAAUUUUAAUAUUGAUAAUAAUACUAACCCUGUGGACUUGGGACCUAGAGAGCAGUUUCCCCUGACAAUUAUCCCAUAUUUGGCCACAUGGGGUAAUAUUGAGUUCCAGAAGGCAAAGAUUAACAUUCAGAAAAAUAGGAAAAACAACCUGCAGGUAGGCAUGUGCACACAUGGGGACUCUAUGGAUAAAUACUAAAGUGACUCUUGUUCUGGAUCUCCAUGCUAACAAACAUGCACCAGCUUUCAGGAGGUAGGACAGCUGGCUGAUGGGGCAAGGCUUCUUGAGGACAUGGCAGGAGUCAGAAAUCACACAUGCUGCCCAGCAGCAGAGCUCAUGACAAGCAGUAAACCCCAGUGAAAGGACCUGGCUGCCCUUCUGCCAUCUGCUCUCCCAUGGCCUCUGUUGACUGGUACAUCUAGGCACUGGAAUAACCUUCACUGGCUAUAGGAAGGCAUAAUCCUCAGUAUUCUCCCACCUGCAAGAAAGACAAAAAUUAACUGAAUACCAUGGCUUCUGGGUAUCCUUAGUGGGCUUAGUGUAUUUUGCAUUUGUUUUAACAGGCCAGUUAUCCAGGCAGUGACUUUCAGUACAGCUACAGUCACCUCUGGACACCUGUGGAGACUUUAAAAAUUUCCAGAAGUUCAGGAAUUUUUGGACACCUUUCUCAUGGCUAUGUUGCCUGCAAAGGUGAAUCAAUAAGCUUCUGAACUGACUUAGAAAAUGUUGCAGAGACUCUUGUGAGCAGAUAGACCCUCUCCUGCCACUCCAGAUAGACAUAUCUGGGUCACACACACCUGAUUUAACAACAUCUUGUUAUCUCAGGUGGGCAACAGACAGCAAUUUAGGACCUAUCCCAGUGUGGAUGAGAGAUAUUGAGUUGGCUUAGAAACAUGUUAGAUAGACUAGAUGGGGCAAGAAAGCCCAUUCUGGGGCUCAAAAGCCUGCACAUAGAGUUGCUGGCACAUAAAUGGUAUGUAUAAAUUCUUUCUCAGCCCAUGAGAUCAGGAUGUACUUCAUCAGUAUACCAUGCUGGUAUGAAGAGAUUCUUGCCUCAAAAGGGACUCAGAAUAUUUCAGGGAACCUGUAUUAGUCCAUUUUUACACUGUUGUAAAGACACUACCCCACACUGGGUAAUUUACAAAGGGAAGGUGUUUAAUUAAUUUACAGUUCUGCAUCGCUGGGGAGGCCUCAGGAA
This 3495-nucleotide unclassified non-coding RNA is filed under the name Homo sapiens (human). Its description in RNAcentral is "family with sequence similarity 66 member D (ENSG00000292281.1)". The record is from RNAcentral. Lineage: Eukaryota; Metazoa; Chordata; Mammalia; Primates; Hominidae.